AUGCCGCGGUGAAUACGUUCCCGGGUCUUGUACACACCGCCCGUCACACCACGAGAGUUUGCAACACCCGAAGUCGGUGAGGUAACCUUCUGGAGCCAGCCGCCGAAGGUGGGGCAGAUGAUUGGGGUGAAGUCGUAACAAGGUAUCCGUACCGGAAGGUGCGGAUGGAUCACCUCCUUUCU
This 182-nucleotide ribosomal RNA is filed under the name Aneurinibacillus thermoaerophilus. RNAcentral describes it as "partial 16S ribosomal RNA". It matches the Rfam family "Bacterial small subunit ribosomal RNA", at positions 1354 to 1533 of the family's 1533-position model. The record is from RNAcentral. Lineage: Bacteria; Bacillati; Bacillota; Bacilli; Caryophanales; Paenibacillaceae.